CCUACGGGAGGCAGCAGUGAGGAAUAUUGGUCAAUGGUCGGGAGACUGAACCAGCCAAGCCGCGUGAGGGAUGAAGGUACAGAGUAUCGUAAACCUCUUUUGUCAGGGAACAAAGGCGGGGACGUGUCCCCGGAUUAGUGUACCUGAAGAAAAAGCAUCGGCUAACUCCGUGCCAGCAGCCGCGGUAAUACGGAGGCUGAGAGCGUUAUCCGGAUUUAUUUGGUUUUAAGGGGGCGGAGGCGGGUUUUUAAGUCAGCGGUCAAAGCACGGUGCUCAACCCCGGACACGCGUUGGAAACUGGCAGUCUGGAGUUGGAGAGAAGUAGGCGGAAUGCGCGGUGUAGCGGUGAAAUGCAUAGAUAUCGCGCAGAACUCCGAUUGCGAAGGCAGCAUGCCGGCUCCACACUGACGCUGAGGCACGAAAGCGUGGGUAUCGAACAGGAUUAGAUACCCCAGUAGUC
Molecule: ribosomal RNA, 460 nt
Filed under: uncultured bacterium
Lineage: Bacteria
Description: partial 16S ribosomal RNA
Rfam family: Bacterial small subunit ribosomal RNA
Source: RNAcentral